RNAcentral lists this ribosomal RNA (400 nucleotides) under Cryptosporidium environmental sequence. RNAcentral's name for it is "partial small subunit ribosomal RNA". It matches the Rfam family "Eukaryotic small subunit ribosomal RNA", at positions 660 to 1064 of the family's 1831-position model. Lineage: Eukaryota; Apicomplexa; Conoidasida; Eucoccidiorida; Cryptosporidiidae. The record is from RNAcentral.
UGUUAAUAAUUUAUAUAAAAUAUUUUGAUGAAUAUUUAUAUAAUAUUAACAUAAUUCAUAUUACUAUUUUUUUUUUUUUAGUAUAUGAAAUUUUACUUUGAGAAAAUUAGAGUGCUUAAAGCAGGCAUAUGCCUUGAAUACUCCAGCAUGGAAUAAUAUUAAAGAUUUUUAUCUUUUUUAUUGGUUUUAAGAUGAGAAUAAUGAUUAAUAGGGACAGUUGGGGGCAUUUGUAUUUAACAGUCAGAGGUGAAAUUCUUAGAUUUGUUAAAGACAAACUAAUGCGAAAGCAUUUGCCAAGGAUGUUUUCAUUAAUCAAGAACGAAAGUUAGGGGAUCGAAGACGAUCAGAUACCGUCGUAGUCUUAACCAUAAACUAUGCCAACUAGAGAUUGGAGGUUGUU